UACGGAGGGUGCAAGCGUUGUCCGGAAUCACUGGGCGUAAAGGGCGUGUAGGCGGGAAUGUAAGUCGGGCGUGAAAGCCCCAGGCUCAACCUGGGAACUGCACUCGAAACUGCGUUUCUUGAGUAUCGGAGAGGAAAGCGGAAUACCUGGUGUAGAGGUGAAAUUCGUAGAUAUCAGGUGGAACACCAGUGGCGAAGGCGGCUUUCUGGACGAUUACUGACGCUGAGACGCGAAAGCGUGGGGAGCAAACAGG
Molecule: ribosomal RNA, 253 nt
Filed under: uncultured bacterium
Lineage: Bacteria
Description: partial 16S ribosomal RNA
Rfam family: Bacterial small subunit ribosomal RNA
Source: RNAcentral